GACGAACCGUGCGAACGUUGUUCGGAAUCACUGGGCUUAAAGGGCGCGUAGGCGGGUUCUCAAGUCAGUUGUGAAAUCUCCGGGCUUAACUCGGAAAGGUCAACUGAUACUGUGCGACUAGAGUGCGGAAGGGGCAACUGGAAUUCUUGGUGUAGCGGUGAAAUGCGUAGAUAUCAAGAGGAACACCUGCGGCGAAGGCGGGUUGCUGGGCCGACACUGACGCUGAGGCGCGAAAGCCAGGGGAGCGAACGGG
Molecule: ribosomal RNA, 253 nt
Filed under: uncultured bacterium
Lineage: Bacteria
Description: partial 16S ribosomal RNA
Rfam family: Bacterial small subunit ribosomal RNA
Source: RNAcentral